UACGUAGGGUGCGAGCGUUGCCCGGAUUUAUUGGGCGUAAAGGGCGCGUAGGCGGUCACGCACGUCCGUUGUGAAAUCUCCCGGCUUAACUGGGAGGGGCCGUGCGAAACUGCCGGGCUUGAGGUCGGAAGGGGAAAGUGGAAUUCCGGGUGUAGUGGUGGAAUACGUAGAUAUCCGGAGGAACACCAGCGGCGAAGGCGGCUUUCUGGUCCGAUACUGACGCUGAGGUGCGAAAGCGUGGGGAGCGAUCCGG
This 253-nucleotide ribosomal RNA is filed under the name uncultured bacterium. Its description in RNAcentral is "partial 16S ribosomal RNA". It matches the Rfam family "Bacterial small subunit ribosomal RNA", at positions 524 to 776 of the family's 1533-position model. The record is from RNAcentral.